This 253-nucleotide ribosomal RNA is filed under the name uncultured bacterium. RNAcentral's name for it is "partial 16S ribosomal RNA". It matches the Rfam family "Bacterial small subunit ribosomal RNA", at positions 524 to 776 of the family's 1533-position model. The record is from RNAcentral.
UACGAAGGGGGCUAGCGUUGCUCGGAAUCACUGGGCGUAAAGGGUGCGUAGGCGGGUCUUUAAGUCAGGGGUGAAAUCCCGAGGCUCAACCUCAGAACUGCCUUCGAUACUGGCAAUCUCGAGUCCGGAAGAGGUUGGUGGAACAGCUAGUGUAGAGGUGAAAUUCGUAGAUAUUAGCUAGAACACCAGUGGCGAAGGCGGCCAACUGGUCCGGUACUGACGCUGAGGUGCGAAAGCGUGGGGAGCAAACAGG